UCAACUUAGACAAACAACAACGAUAAUAAAGCAAAGUAUAUAAAGUACCAGAGGCAACACUCCACCUGGAUGAAAAAGCCAUUAACGGUAUUGGUCUGGUUAAAUUGAAACGUUAAUAAUGCGUAAGGACGCAAUGACCGGAAACGUAUCAAACGGUAUUCCUACCCAGCGAUGAUUAACGCAGCAUCAAAGACGAUGUAUAGAUCCAAAAUAAAUCCAGAUAAAAAUGUAACCCUAUCUGGUGAUCGAUAGCGGGUUAUACGGAGAUUCAGUGUGCCCGCAUUCGGCGCAAAGGCUCACACACAAAACAAAAUUCAGUCUAAUAAAUCUUUAGUGCAACACACUGGAAGGUUUGGACUUUAACGAGAAACAGAAUACACUGCACAUUAAAAGUUUUACAAAAGUUCUAACUUGACUAGAAGUUUGAAAUGUCGGUACUAAGGUUCUGUAUGCCUCGGCAAGACAAAAGAUAAUUUAUCUGUUUUCGGAUGCCCUUGCCUACUGUGGUCCUAAGCUCUUUAUCCUACUACCGGUAUGGGAUCUUUAUUAUAAAAAAAACGACAAUUGCUAGAUGAGCACUGCAGGUCGAUUCACAAAAUUGAGAAACGGAACGGUACAGUAGUUAUUUAAGUUUGCCUACUAUGAAUAUAAAAUAGGGCUAACUGUUCAUACUGAAUAGCUUAUUGCUCGAGAUAGUAAAACGGUACGAUAAGUUAAAGGUUAAGUUCACCCACGAUAGGCCACGGCUUAAAUACUAUCUUCGCCGUUCAGAUCAUCAUUCUCAUAUAGAAUGCUCUGGUAUUACUAGAUCGUCCUCUGUGACCACAUUCAAAGUAGUAAGCUUCAUCAUACGCAAUGUAUAAGUGCUAAGAUAUAAGUCGAUUCCAUGUUCUCGGAGAAUGUCCAAUUGACUGAUAUCAACUUUGACCACCAAUAUCUAACUGUAUGAGACUACAUUUCCAAUUCCAGUAUGUAUGUUGCAUUCUACAAGAUUCAGUGAACUCUCCGCUUGUCGUAGUGAAGAUCAACCUCUUUUCCAAGGGACGAAUUCACUAUUCCGAUACAUCAGAUCGAUAGUAUAGUAUACCCCUCAGUAAUAAAUUUCUGACCUUGCAAUGAUUCAUAGAUCCUUAUAUGAAGAAUGAAUCAGUUUUGUCCAAUCUUGAGAUAAUGACUUCUUCGGGGGCUUGGUGUGAGUGAGCUAAUUUACACUUCACAGAUUUAGAUAAGUUUAGCUUUUCGUCUGUCGAUCUGCAUCGUGGGGUUUGUUUGAAGUGCAUUUUUGAUUUAGGUAAACUAUUUCUCCACUUCGGACGACUACUAAUGUUUUUUAUUACCGUGAGCAAAAUGCCCAUUUUAAAUUUUCCUCGUAUUUAUUAUGCAUUCAUUGACACGCGACACGAUACAGCCUUUUAUAGUUUUAUCGCUCUUAAUUCACAAAAUAAAUAUUUUAACCAGCGUUUCAUUGUAUCUUAAAUAAGAGUAUUUGUAGGUAUAAAAAUUAAAUUUAAUGUCUAGCACAGUUUCUUAAAAAAUAGAAGAACAAUUUUUGAAAACUAUCUUUAAAUAAACAGUCUUCAUUAUUUUAUAUACCGUAGACCAUUGGAAUCAGUGUGGAGUUUUGUGGGCACAUAGCCUUUGCAUACAGGAGGUCUACCGCUCUGCAGCCAGUGAAUAAGGUUACUGAAGCAUUAGUAACUACUGGCUCAAGGGUUUUAAACGGUAUAACAUUGACCAAAUUCUUUGGAAUAAUAGUACUGGGUUUUGCAAAAUCUCAAAUAUUUAAAAUUUUCUAUUUCAAAAUGUACCUCAUCAUGGUGAUAUCAGGAGCCCUCCAUGGUUUAGUGUUUCUUCCUGCACUUCUCUGUUUUAUAGGUGAAACCCUUCAUAUGUAGUAUAAUAAUUUUAUUCGAAUUAAUAAGUGUAUUAAACACUAACUCCAGUAUUUUUGAUACCUUUAAAGCAAAACUAGCAUAAGAGUUAUGUAUCACAAGCAAUGUAUUACAUCUUAGAUUCGCAUUGUAUGUAAAAAGUUUUUCUAAAUAUACGUAUAUGUAGUUAGUUUGA
This is a long non-coding RNA of Agrilus planipennis (emerald ash borer), 2067 nucleotides long. RefSeq lists it as uncharacterized. The record is from RefSeq and is a predicted model, not a curated record. The transcript has 2 exons. Lineage: Eukaryota; Metazoa; Arthropoda; Insecta; Coleoptera; Buprestidae.